CCUACUCUCUUGGUCCAGAGGAGCUCUGUGGCUGGAUUCUGACCACAGACUUUUUCGCCCUUACUUGCAGAGAAGGGUUAUGCUGACACAGAAGGAGGGACUUGGAGAGGGAAGAUUAACCUUUCGCUGGCCACAAUUCGUUCCCUCUUAUCGCGGAGGAUUCGGCAACCCCCCCCCCCCGCUCCCACCCAGCCUAUCUGUCUGAAUUGCUGAAAGCAUAAUGCUCCCAUAUGAGAGAUAAUGUUGCUGUAAAAGACAGAAGGAUCUGCCUGUGUGUUCGAGGUGCGGCCUGAUGUCAUCCUUCAGGAUGGUGCCCCCGUGGAAACCAAGCAAAACUCUCUGGAGCUUUCCUAAAAAAGUUUCUUCCAAGCAUUAAGACCGUGAUGUCAGUCAGCCUCAGAGGAACAGCAUCAGAUCACCUGAGAAUCAGCAUGCAAGCCUCAGGUUUGAAAGGCACCAGGACACCUGCAAGAGAAGCACCAGUUCUGCCUCACCCAUGAUGAGGUUCAUCCAGAGAUGUCACCUCAGAUGGUGACAGGGGGACAACAACGAGUGCCCUCACAGCACUGUCAGUGUGUGUGACAAUGGUCAGAAAGCAGGGAUGGGAAGUGCUGCCUGGACUGCCCCCAGCAGAAAGCCCCGUGGUGUCCCCUCCCCGCUGGUGCAGCGGCUCCGGGCUGCCACCGCAGAUCAUUUGGCAAAUUUCACGGGCUUGAUACAGGCACAAAUGUUCACAGCCUGCACUUGUCUAACUGGUGAGACUGUCCAGUCCCUCUUGUGUCAUUUGUGGUGGCAUUACAGACUUUGAGAACAAUCUGAAGGACAAACCCCAAGCUUUUUGGAGGCUGCUCAGCCCAAAAUACGAUUUUAUCGUGAGAGAGGCAUCACAAAGCCCUGAGUACAACAUAAUGGCAAGCCAGAGCUAUUCCGACGUGAGUGCCUCCUCUGCACUGCAAUGCAGGGAUGGAGCUAAGGAUGAGCAAUGGCAGCACUGUCAGGAUUACAGCCAGGAGCAGCCCUGCCGGUUGGAUGGGCAGACGACGGCACCGACAGAGGCUUCCCAGCGCGACACCCCAAGGCUUUCCCUUCCUCGGGCCAACGUCCUCAUCCAGCAGCUGAAUUCCUGCUCAGAAAGAAGUGGCGAAGAACAGCUGUUGCUCACCUGAAGGAAAAUCACUUGUCUGGCAGAGGCAGAGGCUGGAAUUUGCUGUUUGGUUUUACUCUGGAGGAGUUUUUGUGGGCACAUCUCCCCGUGCCCAGUACAGCGGGUGGCACUGCUGGGACAAAGCCAACCUGGCAGAGCCAGGCAGAGCCUCCCCAAGCUGGGAUUCAGAGCAACCCCACCGACUCAGAUAUGGGCAUCUGUUGCUUUUACACCUCAGGGGGUUGAGGCUGGAACACAGGAGCUGAACUUUAAAAAUACCUCCAAAGAUGUUACUUUUUGCUGACAAGAUAAUACUCAAAUUGACUUUUCGUUUAGCCUCCUGAUGGCCUGGUGUGAAUAUACACUUGGCAUUAUUUUGCACCACCUUCCUGUUGGAUCAACUAACAUGAUAUAGUCUCAGGAUGCAGAGGAUACUUAUGUUUGGCAUUAAAAAAAUUAAUUAUGUAAAUCCUGUUGUCGGAAAGUUACUACAAAGUCAACUGGGCAAAUGAGCCAAAGAAAGCCUUUCCUUUAUAUUUUUCUUCGAUUUUUUCCCCUCUUUUUCCUGAAGCAUUGCUGAAGUUGGAAGACAGUAGUGAUGAUGCACAGCACACGUUCUAAAAUGCAUCUACCCUAUGUGAAUGUACCCUGUCCUGCUGGUUCAGUUUGGGAGUUCACUGGGAAUGUUUUGGAGACUUUUAGCAUCUCAAGUAUAUUUCUGGAAAGGAAGCAAACAAUCCAGGGUCUGUACACUGGACUUUUUAAAUUAACAAAAUAUGUAUUGCUUACUUCAAAAAACACUUUGCCAAAAAAUCUGGGCUAGGGAGAUGGCAUUUGGCACUGGAUUAAUUUCAGAUGAAGUUUUAGGACCAGCCUAGGCUGUAGGUCUGUAUUCAGUGAUGUUUAAAAGUAAUACCCUGGCCAGUAACUGCUGGGAUCAGGCUCUGCCAAAUUUUUGUUACCUUGGGCUUCAUUAGCAUGUGAAAACGGACUCCUCCUGGCUUUGUGUCUCACUGAAAAACAAACCACCAGGGCUGGUUCGCAGCCCUCUCCUUUGGCCAGGGGUGUAGAGCUGCCUCAUGCACUCAACUUUAAUUUUAAAGGUCAUUUUUUCCCCUACAGCUCUUCAAAAGUUACCAGAGUGAAGGUUCCUGAUUACAACAGUGAAGAGUAACUCAGGUAGGAUCCUAAAGGACCCAUGAGCAUUGGUUGACCAACUACUUAGCAGAAUGACUAAGUAUUUUGUAAUUAAGUCCUUAAUUAAAAUUGUGGUUUUGCUAAGAAUAAAAUCCUGCCCUGCCAUAUGAAAUAUUUCCUGUACACUUAAGGGGACCACGGGUUGCAUUCACUAUCUCCAGCCAUUCUAAUAGUGAGUGAACCAGAACACUUAAAAUAUUUGCAGAAAGCAAUUCUGAAUGAAUAACACAGAUAACUAA
Molecule: long non-coding RNA, 2580 nt
Organism: Empidonax traillii (willow flycatcher)
Lineage: Eukaryota; Metazoa; Chordata; Aves; Passeriformes; Tyrannidae
Exons: 11
Source: RefSeq, a predicted model, not a curated record